UAGAUGAAUUGAGAGGGUAUGGUGAACGGAAUCAAUCUUGGAAUAUAAGCUCUUAUUUAAAGGAGAGCUCGUGUGCUGACGUGGCAGGCUGUCUCUGUGUGUUUGUAUGUGAGAGAGAGAGAGAGAGAGAGAGAGAGAGAGAGAGAGAGAGGGUCUGGACUUGGCUGCUCAACAUUUUCUUUCUUGGGCAAUGAUGGCAGUAGAGAAAGGCAACCUCAUAUAUUCUUCUCUUCUUAAGGGAAGAAAGAGCCUUUUGUAGCUGUUCUUCUCCUUGGAUUUUCUCCAAAUGACAGGUUCAGGUUAAAAAAUACAGCUGUUGCUUUGGGAGAAUGACACAGAGAGCAAUGUUAAAGGUACAAUGGCUGGUUUACAUUCUGAUGUGAUGAAUUCUAAGUGGGUUUUUAGACGAGCCGUGAUUUCAAGACAACAAAUGAGUUGCCAUAUCUGUGUGACCUUAUGGAGAUUUUCACCCUAUUGGUGCUGUUGGUCGUGAUAUAGAAAGUAGAAUGGCUGUGACAUCAUACUAAAAUAAGCUCUGCAAGAGACUUAUCAUUAGACUGUGAUAGUGAAAAGCUGUCUGGUGAUAUUCAUUGUGAAGCUCUUGAUGCAUAUUUGCAAUUUCAUGAGGAUGAUAUCCAUCUCAACCAGCUCCUGUUGUCCCACAAAUUGGAUUGCAGUGUUCAUCUCCUUGGUGCAGUGUCCCAAUCCACAGGUUGGUAACCCUACGACUCUGUGGCAUACUGAAAAAGGGCACAUAGAAAACAUUGUCGUCAGUGCUCUCACCAAGUGUACUGAGGUUCUAUCCAUGUUAUUGGGGCUACCUGUACUACCACGUCUCUCUCCUUAGUUUUUUUUAUUUUUAUAUUUUUUAAUGACGAGGAAACCCCGUUUCAGGAGUUACCAGCGAUUCUUGUGAGUAUGUUUUGUGUAAAAUUAGGUCGAGCCGUCAUCUCCAGCCUUUAGCAUCCAUUCAUUGAUAGGUAGUAGUUUGGGAACAUCUGUUAUCUGCUGGAGGAUUAAGUUUGAGUCUUCAAUUAGUUUGUUGUGGUCUACUGUAUCAAAUUGGUCUUGCUCUAGCAUUAUCACGAAAACCCGCCGAAUUCUGU
Molecule: long non-coding RNA, 1106 nt
Organism: Syzygium oleosum
Lineage: Eukaryota; Viridiplantae; Streptophyta; Magnoliopsida; Myrtales; Myrtaceae
Exons: 2
Source: RefSeq, a predicted model, not a curated record